UAAUACGUAGGGUGCGAGCGUUAAUCGGAAUUACUGGGCGUAAAGCGUGCGCAGGCGGUGAUGUAAGACAGAUGUGAAAUCCCCGGGCUCAACCUGGGACCUGCAUUUGUGACUGCAUCGCUAGAGUACGGCAGAGGGGGAUGGAAUUCCGCGUGUAGCAGUGAAAUGCGUAGAUAUGCGGAGGAACACCGAUGGCGAAGGCAAUCCCCUGGGCCUGUACUGACGCUCAUGCACGAAAGCGUGGGGAGCAAACAGGAUUAGAUACCCUGGUAGUCCACGCCCUAAACGAUGUCAACUGGUUGUUGGGAAUUCACUUUCUCAGUAACGAAGCUAACGCGUGAAGUUGACCGCCUGGGGAGUACGGCCGCAAGGUUG
This 375-nucleotide ribosomal RNA is filed under the name uncultured bacterium. RNAcentral's name for it is "bacterial SSU rRNA". It matches the Rfam family "Bacterial small subunit ribosomal RNA", at positions 521 to 896 of the family's 1533-position model. The record is from RNAcentral.